GACGAACGCUGGCGGCGUGCCUAAUACAUGCAAGUAGAACGCUGAAGGAGGAGCUUGCUCUUCUGGAUGAGUUGCGAACGGGUGAGUAACGCGUAGGUAACCUGCCUGGUAGCGGGGGAUAACUAUUGGAAACGAUAGCUAAUACCGCAUAACAGUAGAUGUUGCAUGACAUUUGCUUAAAAGGUGCAAUUGCAUCACUACCAGAUGGACCUGCGUUGUAUUAGCUAGUUGGUGGGGUAACGGCUCACCAAGGCGACGAUACAUAGCCGACCUGAGAGGGGGAUCGGCCACACUGGGACGGAGACACGGCCCAGACGGCUACGGGAGGCAGCAGGAGGGAAACUUCGGGAAGGGACGGAAGUCUGACCGAGAAACGCCGCGGGAGGGAAGAAGGUUGUCGGAUCGUAAAGCUCGGUUGUAAGAGAAGAAAGAGUGUGAGAGUGGAAAGUUCACACUGUGACGGUAACUUACCAGAAAGGGACGGCUAACUACGUG
RNAcentral lists this ribosomal RNA (495 nucleotides) under uncultured bacterium. Its description in RNAcentral is "partial 16S ribosomal RNA". It matches the Rfam family "Bacterial small subunit ribosomal RNA", at positions 28 to 507 of the family's 1533-position model. The record is from RNAcentral.